RNAcentral lists this transfer RNA (104 nucleotides) under Colletotrichum falcatum. RNAcentral describes it as "tRNA-Met". It matches the Rfam family "tRNA". Rfam says of the family: Transfer RNA (tRNA) molecules are approximately 80 nucleotides in length. Their secondary structure includes four short double-helical elements and three loops (D, anti-codon, and T loops). Further hydrogen bonds mediate the characteristic L-shaped molecular structure. tRNAs have two regions of fundamental functional importance: the anti-codon, which is responsible for specific mRNA codon recognition, and the 3' end, to which the tRNAs corresponding amino acid is attached (by aminoacyl-tRNA synthetases). tRNAs cope with the degeneracy of the genetic code in two manners: having more than one tRNA (with a specific anti-codon) for a particular amino acid; and 'wobble' base-pairing, i.e. permitting non-standard base-pairing at the 3rd anti-codon position. Lineage: Eukaryota; Fungi; Ascomycota; Sordariomycetes; Glomerellales; Glomerellaceae. The record is from RNAcentral.
GUCUCUAUGGCUCAGUCGGUAGAGCGUUGGUCUCAUAUUACCAUAUGACCCUACCAUUAGGUCGGGAUAUCCAAAGGUCGCAAGUUCGAGCCUUGCUAGGGACA